This 501-nucleotide ribosomal RNA is filed under the name uncultured Sphingobacteriales bacterium. RNAcentral describes it as "bacterial SSU rRNA". It matches the Rfam family "Bacterial small subunit ribosomal RNA", at positions 903 to 1382 of the family's 1533-position model. The record is from RNAcentral. Lineage: Bacteria; Pseudomonadati; Bacteroidota; Sphingobacteriia; Sphingobacteriales.
CCUUGCCAGCCCGCUCAGAAACUUAAAGGAAUUGACGGGGGCCCGCACAAGCGGUGGAGCAUGUGGUUUAAUUCGAUGAUACGCGAGGAACCUUACCUGGGCUCAAAUGUAUGUUGACGUAUUCUGAAAGGGAUACUUCUUCGGACAAUAUACAAGGUGCUGCAUGGUUGUCGUCAGCUCGUGCCGUGAGGUGUCGGGUUAAGUCCCAUAACGAGCGCAACCCCUACUGCUAGUUGCCAGCGGGUCAUGCCGGGGACUCUAGCGGAACUGCCAGCGUAAGCUGCGAGGAAGGUGGGGAUGACGUCAAAUCAGCACGGCCCUUACGUCCAGGGCUACACACGUACUACAAUGGCCGAUACAAAGGGCAGCGACACUGCGAGGUGAAGCCAAUCCCGUAAAAUCGGUCUCAGUCCGGAUUGGAGUCUGCAACUCGACUCCAUGAAGUUGGAAUCGCUAGUAAUCGUGGAUCAGCAUGCCACGGUGAAUACGUUCCCGGGCCUU